Otolemur garnettii (small-eared galago) is the source of this 135-nucleotide small nucleolar RNA. Its record names the gene SNORA70. It matches the Rfam family "Small nucleolar RNA SNORA70". From Rfam's summary of the family: snoRNA U70 seems to be exclusive to mammals and is a member of the H/ACA class of snoRNA which contain H (ANANNA) and ACA box motifs. Lineage: Eukaryota; Metazoa; Chordata; Mammalia; Primates; Galagidae. The record is from Ensembl.
CCGCAGCUAAUUAAGCCGACCAGGCUCCUUUCCUCAUAGGGACCUGGUGUGCAGUGGCUGCGAACAGCAACCUCCUUGGUCGUGUAUGCAGCCUGUUGCUUGUAUGGGUUGCUCUAAGGGGCCUUGGAGACAAUC